RNAcentral lists this ribosomal RNA (948 nucleotides) under Arthrobacter sp. RNAcentral describes it as "bacterial SSU rRNA". It matches the Rfam family "Bacterial small subunit ribosomal RNA", at positions 526 to 1467 of the family's 1533-position model. The record is from RNAcentral. Lineage: Bacteria; Bacillati; Actinomycetota; Actinomycetes; Micrococcales; Micrococcaceae.
CGUAGGGGGCAAGCGUUAUCCGGAUUUAUGGGCGUAAAGAGCUCGUAGGCGGUUUGUCGCGUCUGCCGUGAAAGUCCGAGGCUCAACCUCGGAUCUGCGGUGGGUACGGGCAGACUAGAGUGAUGUAGGGGAGACUGGAAUUCCUGGUGUAGCGGUGAAAUGCGCAGAUAUCAGGAGGAACACCGAUGGCGAAGGCAGGUCUCUGGGCAUUUACUGACGCUGAGGAGCGAAAGCAUGGGGAGCGAACAGGAUUAGAUACCCUGGUAGUCCAUGCCGUAAACGUUGGGCACUAGGUGUGGGGGACAUUCCACGUUUUCCGCGCCGUAGCUAACGCAUUAAGUGCCCCGCCUGGGGAGUACGGCCGCAAGGCUAAAACUCAAAGGAAUUGACGGGGGCCCGCACAAGCGGCGGAGCAUGCGGAUUAAUUCGAUGCAACGCGAAGAACCUUACCAAGGCUUGACAUGUGCCAGACCGGAUCAGAGAUGGUCUUUCCCUUCGGGGCUGGUUCACAGGUGGUGCAUGGUUGUCGUCAGCUCGUGUCGUGAGAUGUUGGGUUAAGUCCCGCAACGAGCGCAACCCUCGUUCCAUGUUGCCAGCACGUAGUGGUGGGGACUCAUGGGAGACUGCCGGGGUCAACUCGGAGGAAGGUGGGGAUGACGUCAAAUCAUCAUGCCCCUUAUGUCUUGGGCUUCACGCAUGCUACAAUGGCCGGUACAAUGGGUUGCGAUACUGUGAGGUGGAGCUAAUCCCUAAAAGCCGGUCUCAGUUCGGAUUGGGGUCUGCAACUCGACCCCAUGAAGUCGGAGUCGCUAGUAAUCGCAGAUCAGCAACGCUGCGGUGAAUACGUUCCCGGGCCUUGUACACACCGCCCGUCAAGUCACGAAAGUUGGUAACACCCGAAGCCGAUGGCCUAACCACCUUGUGUGGGGGGAGUCGUCGAAGGGGCCC